This 497-nucleotide ribosomal RNA is filed under the name uncultured bacterium. Its description in RNAcentral is "partial 16S ribosomal RNA". It matches the Rfam family "Bacterial small subunit ribosomal RNA", at positions 28 to 507 of the family's 1533-position model. The record is from RNAcentral.
GACGAACGCUGGCGGCGUGCCUAAUACAUGCAAGUUGAGCGAUGAAGCUUGGUGCUUGCGCCCAUUUGAAGAGCAGCGAACGGGUGAGUAACGCGUGGGGAAUCUGCCUUUGAGCGGGGGACAACAUUUGGAAACGAAUGCUAAUACCGCAUAACAACUUUAAACAUAAGUUUUAAGUUUGAAAGAUGCAAUUGCAUCACUCAAAGAUGAUCCCGCGUUGUAUUAGCUAGUUGGUGAGGUAAAGGCUCACCAAGGCGAUGAUACAUAGCCGACCUGAGAGGGUGAUCGGCCACAUUGGGACUGAGACACGGCCCAAACUCCUACGGGAGGCAGCAGUAGGGAAUCUUCGGCAACGGACGAAAGUCUGACCGAGCAACGCCGCGUGAGUGAAGAAGGGUUUCGGAUCGUAAAACUCUGUUGGUAGAGAAGAACGUUGGUGAGAGUGGAAAGCUCAUCAAGUGACGGUAACUACACAGAAAGGGACGGCUAACUACGUG